ACCCGCGAGACUGCCCGCGACAGGGGCGGUCCGGGCGCAGUCUAGCGGCUUCCGGUCGUUGGAGGUGUGGUUCUGUGCUGCCUGCUUGGAGAUUAAAGUGUUUAUUUUCGGCAACACACUAUUGCCGUGGCACCUGGGAGCGUCAAGUAAGCCAUUUCAGAAGAAAGUGAGGUGCAGGACUGAACUAAGUGGCUGAUCCAAGGAAUGUCCUAUGUUGAAAAGCUGGGCAAAUCAGAAGAAAGAACUCCCCUACUUAAAGGUCCCUCAGGAUGUUUGCCUGUGAAGAAAAUCAGCUCAGAGACCCUGGAAGCUCUCCUGUGACAGUAUGUCCUAAAGCCCAACCCAUCCACCUGUUUACAUGUCUGUGCUUCUGAGAACCUAGAUGCAGCUACAUAGGCACUGCUACCAGAGAAGAGGUGAGGUAGCCGGGUGGUGAGGAAGAGAUCUCUCCUUUCACACCUGCUUACGAUGAUGACAUUUGGACCUCUAUGGGCAUCUCCAUUCCAUUCCUCAGCAGGCUAUGCCACAGAGCUCUGUUCAACACCAGGAGACUCAAUGCAGGAAGAGUACCAGAGCGUCCGCUGAGAGUCAGGUAAGCAUGAAAACCUUCACAGCUUACUGCACAAUGAAAUGUCAUCCACAGGACUUCUGAUCUUGGUACGAGAAUCUUGUCCAGGACUCACAGGGGCUCAUGGUGCCCACAUUCAACCCUAACAUGGUGUUCACUUAUGAAGCAUGGAGGUUGUGGAUCAACUCUUGGUACACAAUAAACUGGAAGUUUAAAAAAAGGAAUUUAAAACAACCUAAAAGUGGUUCAUGUUGGUCUCCGUUGCCCAGACUGCCAGGGGAGUACACCUAAUUGAUCUGGUGGGCUGUGGGGGGUUGGGGAAGAAGCCUCCAUGGAUCACCGUCAAUUCCAGUAGUCAGUGUGUGGCCAACAUAUGUGGGAAAUCGCCAGACAACAGUCUUCUGAACCCACACAGCCAUUCUCACUGGUUAUUGGGGAGCCCUGAUCCAACAGAACCCCAGAUUGAGGGAAAGGCUGAUAUAAGGCUUGGGCCCCUCAUGUUCUGUUGCAUUCAAUGUAUCCCCACACCCUCCAGUCAGCAGGAGGCAGACUUGGCAACGGAAGCUAGCAUCAUAAAAUGGUGCAGUAAUAGAAGUAACUGGACCAGGAAGAGGAGGCAUCUGCUCCAAUGAUGUCAUAGCCAUUGGUGGCCACAGGGGGGUGGGACUGGUCAUGUAGCCUUGUGUCAGGAGUAAUGAUUGUAGAGGGGCGGGGCAUGAAGAGUGCCAUUCUGGAAACAGUGCUGUCGAGAAGCAAUAUACUCUGCAUAACUGAUUGUCACCUUCUCACUUCGAUACCUGUACGAGGAAACAGACAAAGGUAUUAGGAACCCCAAAUACCUCAAUGUGAAGGAAGAGUCACUCAGUAGAGAAAACCAAAAGCUUAUCCCACAGUCUCAAAGAAUAAAAUGGAAGACCAAGAGCAAUCUUACUUACAGAAAAUGAAAGACGGCACAAGAAAUGAUGCUGUUCUUACAAAUGAACAAGAUGAGAAAGCACAUCACAGUUCACCCCUGAGAAUGUAUCUCAGCACACCCCACCUCAAAAUGCUACAUAUGCUUAUCAACAGGCUGCUGGUAAGCAAUCUGCUACCAGGAUCUGCAUGAGGGAUUUCAGAGUCAAAUUACAAGGGUGGCAGAUUGGAAGAUGGCUGCACCAAACCCCAGUGUAAACUGCAUUAGCUAUGCUCAGGUUUAAAAUGAGAUAAAUUUGACAGAAAUGCAACCUCAACUUGUAGAAGAGCAACAAACAGGUUAUAACUAAAAGGGGCAUAGAUACCUAAUUCUGGGUCAAAUUCUGGUGAAGCAGGUUAAUGGAUCCUUGGCUAUAGGAAGGUCUCACUCCCCAGAUGAAUAUGCCAUAUCACGGGGUCAUCAGAACAGAAUUCAUAGCACUUUGGCUUUGCUCUGGAAAGAGCCAUGAGUCAGGAUGCAAAGCAUGGGUGUUACAAACCUAUGGAGCCUACUACAGACCACAGGAGCUGGGUGACAAUCCUUACCCAGAGCCAUCUCUUUCCCACUGUAAUCACUCCUCCACUGCAAGGUGAUUAUUCCUGAAUUUUGACAGGGAAAUGGCUGUUCAAAUAAAUUGUAAUAGUAAUAAUGCUUUGUAUUUGCAGUGUUUUUAUUAUUAUUACUAUUAUUAUAUUUUGGUGCUGGAGGUGGAACCCAGGGCCUUGAGCGUAUAUACUAUGUAUUAAGUUCUACCAAUGAGUGGAAGUCCCAGCCCCUUGACUUUUUGGAAUUUAAUGCAUUCAAAAACACUGGGUUAUCUUCCAAACAGACCUGUGAGGCUGGCAUACGGUGACUCAGCAUUUUGUAGACGAGGGUCAUAGCAAAGGCCCACCAAAGCUAACUUCUCUCUCUGUCCCCAACAUCAGCACAAAAGAACACUGACAUCCACUGAACACCUCCAGUGUUGCCCUUGGCUGAAAACACUAUACCUUACCUUAAAAACUGAAGGAAUUACAACUCACAUCUUACA
Molecule: small RNA, 2550 nt
Filed under: Rattus norvegicus (Norway rat)
Lineage: Eukaryota; Metazoa; Chordata; Mammalia; Rodentia; Muridae
Description: uncharacterized LOC100910201
Source: RNAcentral